GAUAAGGAGCUUGCUCCUUUGACGUUAGCGGCGGACGGGUGAGUAACACGUGGGUAACCUACCUAUAAGACUGGAAUAACUCCGGGAAACCGGGGCUAAUGCCGGAUAAUAUUUAGAACCGCAUGGUUCUAAAGUGAAAGAUGGUUUUGCUAUCACUUAUAGAUGGACCCGCGCCGUAUUAGCUAGUUGGUGGGGUAAUGGCUUACCAAGGCAACGAUACGUAGCCGACCUGAGAGGGUGAUCGGCCACACUGGAACUGAGACACGGUCCAGACUCCUACGGGAGGCAGCAGUAGGGAAUCUUCCGCAAUGGGCGAAAGCCUGACGGAGCAACGCCGCGUGAGUGAUGAAGGUCUUCGGAUCGUAAAACUCUGUUAUUAGGGAAGAACAAAUGUGUAAGUAACUGUGCACGUCUUGACGGUACCUAAUCAGAAAGCCACGGCUAACUACGUGCCAGCAGCCGCGGUAAU
Molecule: ribosomal RNA, 469 nt
Filed under: Staphylococcus nepalensis
Lineage: Bacteria; Bacillati; Bacillota; Bacilli; Caryophanales; Staphylococcaceae
Description: bacterial SSU rRNA
Rfam family: Bacterial small subunit ribosomal RNA
Source: RNAcentral